This 271-nucleotide ribosomal RNA is filed under the name uncultured prokaryote. RNAcentral describes it as "partial 16S ribosomal RNA". It matches the Rfam family "Bacterial small subunit ribosomal RNA", at positions 524 to 794 of the family's 1533-position model. The record is from RNAcentral.
UACGGAGGAUCCGAGCGUUAUCCGGAAUUAUUGGGCGUAAAGGGUACGUAGGCGGGCUUGCAAGUCUGAUUUGAAAGCACAUGGCUUAACCAUGUGAGGUAAUUAGAAACUACGAGUCUAGAGAGUGGUAGAGGUAAAUGGAAUUCCAAGUGGAGCGGUGAAAUGCGUAGAGAUUUGGAGGAACACCAGUGGCGAAGGCGGUUUACUGGGCCACAUCUGACGCUGAUGUACGAAAGCGUGGGGAGCAAACAGGAUUAGAUACCCGCGUAGU